ACGUAGGGUGCAAGCGUUGUCCGGAAUUAUUGGGCGUAAAGAGCUCGUAGGCGGUUUGUCGCGUCUGCUGUGAAAUCUGGGGGCUCAACCCCCAGCCUGCAGUGGGUACGGGCAGACUAGAGUGCGGUAGGGGAGAUUGGAAUUCCUGGUGUAGCGGUGGAAUGCGCAGAUAUCAGGAGGAACACCGAUGGCGAAGGCAGCCCCCUGGGCUGACACUGACGCUCAGGCACGAAAGCGUGGGGAGCAAACAGGA
Molecule: ribosomal RNA, 253 nt
Filed under: uncultured prokaryote
Description: partial 16S ribosomal RNA
Rfam family: Bacterial small subunit ribosomal RNA
Source: RNAcentral